This is a non-coding RNA of Paramuricea clavata, 439 nucleotides long. The record is from the annotation of a GenBank genome assembly. NCBI's taxonomy places the organism in Eukaryota, Metazoa, Cnidaria, Anthozoa, Malacalcyonacea, Plexauridae.
UCCCAGGUUUUGUAAAUGGCGUGCAUAUGUAUUAUGAAGGACAGUCUUUAAAAGCUAUAGUAACCAAUGUAGUAACCUGAAAACAAGUUUCACCUUGGAAAACCCAUUUAAAUUGGGGUUAAUAAGUCCCCUCCCCUGCAUGCUUACACCAUUUGUGCCAUGCAGAACAUGCAGUCAAGUCUAUGUUGAUUAUGAAUUGGCUUACUAUAUAUAUUUUCUAUUAUACUAUGAUCACUUCGGUUUCAUUUGUCUCUCAUUAAAAUGUGUGAAAAAGUCAGCUGCAAUGUUUUUAUUCCCAGAUGAAUAUACAUCACCUUGGUAAACAUAUGAUGGUAUUACAAACUAAUAUGACAAUAAUAUUUCCAUAUAUUAAGGAUUAAAUGUCCCUGCAAGCUUCACUAUAGGAGGUUUUUGGAAAGUUGCUCGGGCUAACCUUUGU